RNAcentral lists this ribosomal RNA (429 nucleotides) under uncultured bacterium. RNAcentral describes it as "bacterial SSU rRNA". It matches the Rfam family "Bacterial small subunit ribosomal RNA", at positions 355 to 776 of the family's 1533-position model. The record is from RNAcentral.
UGAGGAAUCUUGCGCAAUGGGGGAAACCCUGACGCAGCAACGCCGUGUGAGUGAUGAAGGUCUUCGGGUCGUAAAGCUCUGUUUGAAGGGACGAAAAGUAUUUGAUUAAUACUCAAAUACUUUGACGGUACCUUCAGAGGAAGCACCGGCUAACUCCGUGCCAGCAGCCGCGGUAAUACGGAGGGUGCAAGCGUUGUUCGGAAUUACUGGGCGUAAAGGGCGUGUAGGUGGCUAAUUAAGUCAGGUGUGAAAUCCUUCCGCUUAACGGGAGAAGUGCACUUGAAACUGCUUAGCUAGAGUACGGGAGAGGAAGGUGGAAUUCCUGGUGUAGAGGUGAAAUUCAUAGAUAUCGGGAAGAACACCGGUGGCGAAGGCGGCCUUCUGGCCCGAUACUGACGCUGAGACGCGAAAGCGUGGGGAGCAAACAGG